RNAcentral lists this ribosomal RNA (113 nucleotides) under Acanthosepion pharaonis. The record is from RNAcentral. Lineage: Eukaryota; Metazoa; Mollusca; Cephalopoda; Sepiida; Sepiidae.
UACGGUGAAAUCACGCUGAAACACCGGUUCUCGUACGAUCACCGAAGUUAAGCAGCGUAGAGCCAGGUCAGUACUUAGAUGGGGGACCGCUUGGGAACACCUGGUACUGUAAG